CCUACGGGGGGCAGCAGUGAGGAAUAUUGGUCAAUGAGCUUACGCCUGAACCAGCCAAGUCGCGUGAGGGAAGACUGCCCUAUGGGUUGUAAACCUCUUUUGUCAGGGAUCAAUUGGCGCUACGUGUAGCGUUAUCGAGAGUACCUGAAGAAAAAGCAUCGGCUAACUCCUGGCCAGCAGCCGCGGGAAUACGGAGGAUGCGAGCGUUAUCAGGAUUUAUGGGGUUUAAAGGGUGGGUAGGCGGAAUGCAAAUGCAGCGGUAAAAUCGCGGGGCUCAACCUCGCUCCGCCGUUGAACCUGGCGUUCUUGAGUGGGCGAGAAGUAUGCGGAAUGCGUGGUGUAGCGGUGAAAUGCAUAGAUAUCACGCAGAACUCCGAUUGCGAAGGCAGCAUACCGGCGCCCAACUGACGCUGAAGCACGAAAGCGUGGGUAUCGAACAGGAUUAGAUACCCGAGUAGUCC
This 461-nucleotide ribosomal RNA is filed under the name uncultured bacterium. Its description in RNAcentral is "partial 16S ribosomal RNA". It matches the Rfam family "Bacterial small subunit ribosomal RNA", at positions 338 to 796 of the family's 1533-position model. The record is from RNAcentral.